UCGACAACUUCGAUAAUAGAACAAGAAACACGACUAACACCACUUUUUAUGGAAGGAAACUUGGGGGAAAAACUUCAUUAGCACUACUCUGUGAAAAAGCAAUUGACGUACCAAGAGAAACUGAACAACCCAUCACCAAAACUUGCUCAUGAAACAUCAAUGAUUACAUAUGGAAACAACCCGAACAGCUGAAGAACAACCAAUACCUUGGUCAUCAUUGCCUUAGCUUGCUAUGGAAAAUGUCUUGUCAAAAUCUUUAUCCCGAACCUGAGCCAAUCAAUAGCGGGUUGGAUCAAGUGAUCAAGCUAUUUCUUAGAUAAUUUUUUUUAGAAUUCUCCUACUUUAGGUUAGGAUUGAAAAUCAUAGGCCUUGUUUAGUUUCAAAAAUUUUUGCAAAAUCGACAGUGUAGCACUUUCGUUUGUAUUUGACAAAUAUUGUCCAAUCAUGGACUAACUAGGCUCAAAAGAUUCGUCUCGUCAAUUCCGACCAAACUGUGCAAUUAGUUUUUAUUUUCGUCUACAGUUAAUACUCCAUGCAUGCGUCUAAAGAUUCGAUGUGAUGGGGAAUCUGAAAAAUUUUGCAAAAAAUUUUGGGAACUAAACAAGGCCAUAACCUGAAUCUAACACAAUAUACUUUUGGGUCAGGUCAGGUGGUCCAUAUAGAUAUAUUUUUAGGCCUUAUUUAGAUGUAAUUGGAUUAUUAUCAAUACAUGUGUUGGGAUGAAUUAGGGGUAGAACUUAAACUAAAUUCCACUCUGACCCGUAUAGAUUUAAGUCCACUCUAAUUCACCCAAACCCAUAUAGAUUGAGUUGAAUUCAAUAACAUUCAAACCUAGUAGGGGUGGUACUGAAGGUGGAGCUGUGUUUCUUGAUUGAGCAGGGCACUUGUCAAGUUGCUCUAAUAACACGAUUAUAGGAAGGUUUUGUGCCAGCCAAUAGCCGAGGCGCGUGAUUGGAAGUGACAAGUCACAAGUGGAGCUUGAUCGGAGGGAUGGACACGCAGCUACGCGUUCAAGAGGUCGCCGUCAGAUGCGGUGGAGGCGUGUAUGGUGCCGCGCCACGCCACGCUUCCCCUGCCCCGGCCGUAGGAUGGUGGGUGCCGUGCACGGCGGGGAUGGCGUCUCAUCCAAAACCUCCCAACCCCACCGACCUCCAUUUCCUCUCCCCGCCCACCUCUUCCGUUCCCGUCCCGCACACAGACUCUUUUCUCUCUCCUCCCCCUCCCUCUCGUCCUCUCUCUCUCGUCCGAUCUGCAUCUGCUUUUCUUCCUUCCCCCCUUGUCUCCUGUCCCUUCUGGCGUGCGCAAAGAUUUGAUUUUUCUUUUUCUUUUUUUUUUCCUCUCGGGGAGGAGGCGGAGUCGAAGCAGGAGUCGGGGAAGGAGUGGUGGGAGGCGGGAGGAAGGAGGAGAUCCUGAUCUGUUCUUGGAGUGGUGGGAGGAGAGGUCGAGAGGAGGAAGAUGGCGGCGCAGGAGCAGGAGCACGAGAAGCAGCAGGCGAAGACAAGCACCACGAGCUCGCUCCCCUCCAGCAGCGAGCGCUCCUCCAGCUCCGCCCCCAACAACCUCAGGGAAGGAGGUAGGUGCCGCGCCCAACCCAACCCAACCCAACCCAUGCACCACCCUCUCAGAUUUCCUGCAUCAUCUUUUUUUCCCCCGGUUUCGUCAGCUAAACUCCGCAGCUGAAGUUGCCGCUGCGCGCAUGCCACUGCAGGUGCGGAGAGCGACGAGGAGAUACGGCGGGUGCCGGAGAUGGGCGGCGCGUCGGCGUCGGCCUCGUCGGGCGCGGGCGCAGACGAGCGCCCCAAGGAGGACGGCGGCAAGCAGGGCGGGCAGCUGGCGGCUGCCGCGGGGGCGCAGCCUCCGGCGGCGGCCGGGAAGAAGCGCGGCCGCACCGCGGGGGACAAGGAGCAGAACCGGCUGAAGCGCCUGCUGCGGAACCGCGUGUCCGCGCAGCAGGCGCGGGAGCGGAAGAAGGCGUACCUGACGGAGCUGGAGGCCAAGGCCA
RNAcentral lists this long non-coding RNA (2002 nucleotides) under Sorghum bicolor (sorghum). RNAcentral describes it as "long non-coding RNA (SBIC_LNC004050)". Lineage: Eukaryota; Viridiplantae; Streptophyta; Magnoliopsida; Poales; Poaceae. The record is from RNAcentral.